GAUGGACGCUGGCGGCGUGCCUAAUACAUGCAAGUCGAGCGAACAGAUGAGGAGCUUGCUCCUCUGACGUUAGCGGCGGACGGGUGAGUAACACGUGGAUAACCUACCUAUAAGACUGGGAUAACUUCGGGAAACCGGAGCUAAUACCGGAUAAUAUAUUGAACCGCAUGGUUCAAUAGUGAAAGACGGUUUUGCUGUCACUUAUAGAUGGAUCCGCGCCGCAUUAGCUAGUUGGUAAGGUAACGGCUUACCAAGGCAACGAUGCGUAGCCGACCUGAGAGGGGGAUCGGCCACACUGGAACUGAGACAGGGGCCAAACUCCUAGGGGAGGCAGCAGUAGGGAAUCUUCCGCAAUGGGCGAAAGCCUGAGGGGGAAACGCCGCGUGAGUGAUGAAGGUUUUCGGAUCGUAAAACUCUGUUAUUAGGGAAGAAAAAAGGGGUAAGUAAAUAUGAACGUCUUGACGGUACCUAAUCAGAAAGCCACGGCUAACUACGU
RNAcentral lists this ribosomal RNA (496 nucleotides) under uncultured bacterium. Its description in RNAcentral is "partial 16S ribosomal RNA". It matches the Rfam family "Bacterial small subunit ribosomal RNA", at positions 28 to 506 of the family's 1533-position model. The record is from RNAcentral.